Molecule: ribosomal RNA, 1176 nt
Filed under: Staphylococcus aureus
Lineage: Bacteria; Bacillati; Bacillota; Bacilli; Caryophanales; Staphylococcaceae
Description: bacterial SSU rRNA
Rfam family: Bacterial small subunit ribosomal RNA
Source: RNAcentral
UUUAUGGAGAGUUUGAUCCUGGCUCAGGAUGAACGCUGGCGGCGUGCCUAAUACAUGCAAGUCGAGCGAACGGACGAGAAGCUUGCUUCUCUGAUGUUAGCGGCGGACGGGUGAGUAACACGUGGAUAACCUACCUAUAAGACUGGGAUAACUUCGGGAAACCGGAGCUAAUACCGGAUAAUAUUUUGAACCGCAUGGUUCAAAAGUGAAAGACGGUCUUGCUGUCACUUAUAGAUGGAUCCGCGCUGCAUUAGCUAGUUGGUAAGGUAACGGCUUACCAAGGCAACGAUGCAUAGCCGACCUGAGAGGGUGAUCGGCCACACUGGAACUGAGACACGGUCCAGACUCCUACGGGAGGCAGCAGUAGGGAAUCUUCCGCAAUGGGCGAAAGCCUGACGGAGCAACGCCGCGUGAGUGAUGAAGGUCUUCGGAUCGUAAAACUCUGUUAUUAGGGAAGAACAUAUGUGUAAGUAACUGUGCACAUCUUGACGGUACCUAAUCAGAAAGCCACGGCUAACUACGUGCCAGCAGCCGCGGUAAUACGUAGGUGGCAAGCGUUAUCCGGAAUUAUUGGGCGUAAAGCGCGCGUAGGCGGUUUUUUAAGUCUGAUGUGAAAGCCCACGGCUCAACCGUGGAGGGUCAUUGGAAACUGGAAAACUUGAGUGCAGAAGAGGAAAGUGGAAUUCCAUGUGUAGCGGUGAAAUGCGCAGAGAUAUGGAGGAACACCAGUGGCGAAGGCGACUUUCUGGUCUGUAACUGACGCUGAUGUGCGAAAGCGUGGGGAUCAAACAGGAUUAGAUACCCUGGUAGUCCACGCCGUAAACGAUGAGUGCUAAGUGUUAGGGGGUUUCCGCCCCUUAGUGCUGCAGCUAACGCAUUAAGCACUCCGCCUGGGGAGUACGACCGCAAGGUUGAAACUCAAAGGAAUUGACGGGGACCCGCACAAGCGGUGGAGCAUGUGGUUUAAUUCGAAGCAACGCGAAGAACCUUACCAAAUCUUGACAUCCUUUGACAACUCUAGAGAUAGAGCCUUCCCCUUCGGGGGACAAAGUGACAGGUGGUGCAUGGUUGUCGUCAGCUCGUGUCGUGAGAUGUUGGGUUAAGUCCCGCAACGAGCGCAACCCUUAAGCUUAGUUGCCAUCAUUAAGUUGGGCACUCUAAGUUGACUGCCGGUGA